UGAUGGUGGUGAGGAUAAUCUCUGAGAACCCUUGAACCUCUACCACGCUUGAUACAAAUUUUCUCCAUUUUUCUGCCUAAAUAACAUGAUCUCCCUUCCGAGUCG
Small nucleolar RNA from Lycium ferocissimum, 105 nucleotides. Lineage: Eukaryota; Viridiplantae; Streptophyta; Magnoliopsida; Solanales; Solanaceae. The record is from RefSeq and is a predicted model, not a curated record.